RNAcentral lists this long non-coding RNA (776 nucleotides) under Dromaius novaehollandiae (emu). Its description in RNAcentral is "lncRNA (ENSDNVG00000008553.1)". Lineage: Eukaryota; Metazoa; Chordata; Aves; Casuariiformes; Dromaiidae. The record is from RNAcentral.
GCGGCGCCCGCGGAGCCACGGUGCCACCGCACUGCCCCCCGGGCCGCUCGCUCCGCGCUCUCGCGGGCUCCUGGACGGCGGCCGCCACGGGGCCGGGGUCCGCCCCGUGGAGGGAAACGGGAUUUCCUGCCUUGAGGGAGCUACAGCGACCAGCGCAGCUUCUCUCUGGAGCUGUGCCCUGCGAGGUCUGCAGCAUGUGCACGGAACGUCAGAUGAGAGGCCCCCCCCUCCCAGCCCGGCCUGUUUCAGUUUCUGCCUUCCUAAGGUCUCUGCUCUGUCUAAGAUGGGCUGCUCGAGUGGCCUGGCCACAUGCUGCUGCRAGGAGGAAGGACAGUGAGGACAAUGGCGCUGUAAAGACUCUGCGUAUCAAAAGCGCUGCGUGCAGGAAAGUCAAAACCAAGCAGUCCGAAUCAGCGAUGGUGAUGAGAGCGGUGCGGAUGGGGACGGCAGCUCCGACGUGGGACGAGGACUGUCUUCGGCGCACGGGUGGGCGUCCGGGAGCCCGGAGGAGCCGAGGGUCAGCUGGGGCGUCUCGUGGAGCUCGGCGCCUUCGACACCUGGUACUCUUGGACGUGGCUGAACGCGCUGACGGGGGGAUAGGCAACCAGAGGCUCAGACCAGCGCAGUGCCUGACUUCCGUGCAGCGUUAGUGCCUGGGACCUGCAUUUGGUGGGGUAUUGCCCUAUCUUUUCCAUACUGUUGUUUUCUAAGGGCUGUCUAAGGAGUCCGGCACAAAAGCAACACAGCGCUUGUACCCCACAAAGACAAGAUUUCCC